AUUUUGGUGAUGUUUUGAUGAUUAUUGUAAUGUACAUAGUAAGUAGAUGGUUUCAUGCAAGUGGCAGAUGAAGCGUGGGGUAAGAAUUGGAUAUUUGCAAUGCAUGUAUAUUUUUUGGUGACAGGGGAUUUCACAUGGUUAAAGAAGAGAAGUUAAGACUUGUCUCUUCACCAACUAGAAACUAUUGGCAUACAACAACCAUCCUUUAAAUGUCACAACAGGUUUGUCGUUAGUUAUAACCCUAG
Long non-coding RNA from Juglans microcarpa x Juglans regia, 245 nucleotides. RefSeq lists it as uncharacterized. The transcript has 3 exons. NCBI's taxonomy places the organism in Eukaryota, Viridiplantae, Streptophyta, Magnoliopsida, Fagales, Juglandaceae. The record is from RefSeq and is a predicted model, not a curated record.